GAUACGCCCAAAUAAUGGUGCACCUGUGCCGCGCGGAGAUCCUCAUCUCGCUCAUCUUUUUGGCUCAUGGCACCACAUGCCCCGGCUACCCGACAGAAGCCGAAUACCAAUCCACGUGCCAUAUGAAUACGGUAUCAGCAAUUGUCAGCUUGCUCACCGGAGCCAUGGGAUUGGGCGCUGUGCAUAGAUAUCGGUGGAGGACCAUGCUAAUCUUGUGGCUCGUUUUUUGUAUCAUGUCGGCUGUCGGAAGUCUGCUAGCUGUGAUUACUACAGGUAAGAGAGUUUUUUGCCGAAUGGCUUAUAUCUCGAUCAGAUUGAAAGUUGUUCAGAAAUUUUUCAACAAAGUUAUACUUUUUUGAUAUCCAUUAAAGUUGAGUAAAACUAAAACAAUGUCAUUUUUCUUCAUGGUGCAUUGUUGAACAUAGAAACUGAUACAACAAGUUGUUUGUCAAUAACUUUUGGAUAAAACCAAAAAGAACUGAGAUAUCAACUCUCAAAAUCAGGCAAACAUGGUGCAACGAAAACUUCAUCUUUGGUUUUAUAAAAAUUAUUAGCUAACUUUAUACACUGUUCCUUUAAAAUUAACCGAGGUAUGGGAUUUCAAUUAAUUUUUUUCUCAGGCAUCUGGCUCGACCACUACUCAAAAAUGAAAGUCCGCACGGCAAUCGGCAACGGGUUAUCCGGUUUCAUGCUUUUGGCAUCAGUUGCUCUUGGAGUGUGCUUCAUCUUGACCGCUGUCAUGAUUUGUCAUUAUUGGAACUCCAACACCACCGGCUAUCAGCCAGUGCAGAAAAUUGCA
RNAcentral lists this small RNA (799 nucleotides) under Caenorhabditis elegans. RNAcentral's name for it is "Unclassified non-coding RNA F37C4.9". The record is from RNAcentral. Lineage: Eukaryota; Metazoa; Nematoda; Chromadorea; Rhabditida; Rhabditidae.